GUAGUCAUAUGCUUGUCUCAAAGAUUAAGCCAUGCAUUUCUAAGUAUAAGCAACUAUACUGUGAAACUGCGAAUGGCUCAUUAAAUCAGUUAUCGUUUAUUUGAUAGUACCUUACUACUUGGAUAACCGUGGUAAUUCUAGAGCUAAUACAUGCGAAAAACCCCGACUUCGGAAGGGGUGUAUUUAUUAGAUAAUAAACCAAUGCCCUUCGGGGCUCCUUGGUGAAUCAUAAUAACUUAACGAAUCGCAUGGCCUUGCGCCGGCGAUGGUUCAUUCAAAUUUCUGCCCUAUCAACUUUCGAUGGUAGGAUAGUGGCCUACCAUGGUAUCAACGGGUAGCGGGGAAUUAGGGUUCGACUCCGGAGAGGGAGCCUGAGAAACGGCUACCACAUCCAAGGAAGGCAGCAGGCGCGCAAAUUACCCAAUCCCGACACGGGGAGGUAGUGACAAUAAAUACUGAUACAGGGCUCUUUUGGGUCUUGUAAUUGGAAUGAGUACAAUUUAAAUCCCUUAACGAGGAACAAUUGGGGGCAAGUCUGGUGCCCGCAGCC
RNAcentral lists this ribosomal RNA (550 nucleotides) under uncultured eukaryote. RNAcentral describes it as "SSU rRNA". It matches the Rfam family "Eukaryotic small subunit ribosomal RNA", at positions 20 to 575 of the family's 1831-position model. The record is from RNAcentral.